CCAGACUCCUACGGGAGGCAGCAGUGGGGAAUAUUGCACAAUGGGGGAAACCCUGAUGCAGCAACGCCGCGUGAGUGAAGAAGUAUUUCGAUAUGUAAAGCUCUAUCAGCAGGGAAGAAGAUGACGGUACCUGAGUAAGAAGCCCCGGCUAACUACGUGCCAGCAGCCGCGGUAAUACGUAGGGGGCAAGCGUUAUCCGGAUUUACUGGGUGUAAAGGGAGCGUAGACGGCAGCACAAGUCUGGAGUGAAAUCCCGGGGCUUAACCCCGGAACUGCUUUGGAAACUGUGCGGCUGGAGUGCAGGAGGGGUAAGCGGAAUUCCUAGUGUAGCGGUGAAAUGCGUAGAUAUUAGGAGGAACACCGGUGGCGAAGGCGGCUUACUGGACUGUAACUGACGUUGAGGCUCGAAAGCGUGGGGAGCAAACAGGAUUAGAUACCCCCGUAUGG
RNAcentral lists this ribosomal RNA (447 nucleotides) under uncultured bacterium. RNAcentral's name for it is "bacterial SSU rRNA". It matches the Rfam family "Bacterial small subunit ribosomal RNA", at positions 331 to 793 of the family's 1533-position model. The record is from RNAcentral.